AGGCGGCAUAGCCAAGUGGUAAGGCAGAGGAUUGCAAAUUCUUUAUCCCCAGUUCGAGUCUGGGUGCCGCCUA
RNAcentral lists this transfer RNA (73 nucleotides) under Bostrychia tenella. RNAcentral's name for it is "tRNA-Cys". It matches the Rfam family "tRNA". Rfam says of the family: Transfer RNA (tRNA) molecules are approximately 80 nucleotides in length. Their secondary structure includes four short double-helical elements and three loops (D, anti-codon, and T loops). Lineage: Eukaryota; Rhodophyta; Florideophyceae; Ceramiales; Rhodomelaceae. The record is from RNAcentral.